AGAAGCUUAGGUUAAAAUUAAACCAAGGACCUUCAAAGCCCAAAAUAUGGACCAACCCCCAUAGCCUCU
This 69-nucleotide transfer RNA is filed under the name Anolis peraccae. RNAcentral describes it as "tRNA-Trp". Lineage: Eukaryota; Metazoa; Chordata; Lepidosauria; Squamata; Anolidae. The record is from RNAcentral.